GCCAGUUUUAAUGGACGAGGAUUCAAAGAACGAGCUUGGGAAGGUGACAGUGAAUACAAUUUCGGGAAGCAACAGUGAUUCUGAAUUGAAGGGUGACGGGAAUAAUGUAUCUGAAGAGGGGACUAGCAGGGCACCUGUAAUUCCUAUUAAUAAGUCAUCGCCAAUUUUGGUUAAUGAUAGUAAUAGUAAGCCGCAGGAGAAGCCUCUUAGGAGGUUUACCAGGUCAUUGCUGAAGCCAAAGAAAGAGACAGUGAAAGAAUCCACUGCUAAAGAUGGUGUGGGAGGGAAUGAUGCGAAAGCAAUUUCAAGUAUUGAUGAUGCAGGUAGUUCCUCGGUUGCCAAUUCCCAUGCACUGUUGAAGACGGUGAAGAAUGAUGCAUCAAAGAAAUUUCCAUCGAAGUUGAAGGAUCUUCUUGAUUCGGGGAUAUUAGAGGGAUCAAAGGUGAAGUAUAUGCGGGGCUAUAAGGCGAGAGCUCCUGGAGAGACAGGGUUGCGCGGAGUUAUCAAGGGAUCGGGGAUUCUCUGUUUUUGUAGCGCUUGUGGAGGAAAUGAAGUUGUUACACCUUCUUUAUUUGAGCUGCAUGCUGGCAGUGCAAAUAAACGUCCACCAGAGUAUAUUUACCUGGAGAAUGGGAAUACACUUCGUGAUGUGAUGAAUGCAUGCAAGGAUGCAUCAUUGGAGACGGUGGAUGAAGCUAUUCGGCUUUCUAUUGGUUGUUCAUCUUUGCAGAAAUCUGCUUUCUGUCUGAACUGCAGAGGGUCAAUUGCUGGGGUUGAUGCUGGAAAAUCAAUGGUAUUAUGUAGUCAAUGCAUGGGGUUGAGAGAUUCUCAAGCGAGCUUAUCAGGGACAACAGAUUCAGACAAAGGAACUCCAAAACCACUUCCGGUUCCAAAGUCCUCUGACAGUGUGUCAAAGUGUACCUCGUCACGGAGCAAGAGUCAGGGGAGACUUACAACAAAGGAUUUGCGGAUGCAUAAGUUGGUUUUCGAGGAAGAUGUCUUGCCGGAUGGAACUGAAGUUGCUUAUUAUUCUAGAGGACAGAAAUUGCUGGUUGGAUACAAGAAGGGUUUUGGCAUAUUUUGUUCUUGCUGCAAUGCUGAGGUCAGCCCCUCCCAAUUUGAAGCCCAUGCUGGUUGGGCAUCACGUCGAAAACCUUAUCUGCACAUUUACACAUCUAAUGGUGUGUCUCUUCAUGAAUUGGCAAUAUCACUAUCCAAAACUCGGAAGUUCUCUGCCCAUGAAAAUGAUGACCUGUGCCAAAUUUGUCGAGAUGGUGGGAAUCUUUUGUGUUGUGAUAUAUGUCCAAGGGCUUAUCAUAAAGAGUGUCUUUCUCUACCAGCAAUUCCGGAUGGUAAAUGGUAUUGCAAAUUUUGCUUGAAUACCUUCCAGAAAGAAAAGUUUGUGGAGCGUAAUGCCAAUGCAAUAGCAGCAGGAAGAGUUGCAGGAAUUGAUCCAAUAGAACAGAUAACAAGGCGAUGCAUUCGUAUUGUCAAGACACUAGAAUCUGAAUUUGGUGGAUGUGUGUUAUGCAGGG
RNAcentral lists this unclassified non-coding RNA (1535 nucleotides) under Hevea brasiliensis (rubber tree). The record is from RNAcentral. Lineage: Eukaryota; Viridiplantae; Streptophyta; Magnoliopsida; Malpighiales; Euphorbiaceae.